Molecule: ribosomal RNA, 410 nt
Filed under: uncultured bacterium
Lineage: Bacteria
Description: bacterial SSU rRNA
Rfam family: Bacterial small subunit ribosomal RNA
Source: RNAcentral
UGGCGGACGGGUGAGAAACGCGUGGAUAACCUGCCUCACACUGGGGGAUAACAGUUAGAAAUGACUGCUAAUACCGCAUAAGCGCACAGUGCCGCAUGGCAGUGUGUGAAAAACUCCGGUGGUGUGAGAUGGAUCCGCGUCUGAUUAGCCAGUUGGCGGGGUAACGGCCCACCAAAGCGACGAUCAGUAGCCGACCUGAGAGGGUGACCGGCCACAUUGGGACUGAGACACGGCCCAAACUCCUACGGGAGGCAACAGUGGGGAAUAUUGCACAAUGGGCGAAAGCCUGAUGCAGCGACGCCGCGUGAGUGAAGAAGUAUUUCGGUAUGUAAAGCUCUAUCAGCAGGGAAGAAAAUGACGGUACCUGACUAAGAAGCCCCGGCUAACUACGUGCCAGCAGCCGCGGUAAU